CGCGUAGGCGGCUGUGCAAGUAGGAGGUGAAAUCCCUCGGCUCAACCGAGGAACUGCCUCCUAAACUGCACGGCUUGAGUCCCGGAGAGGGUAACGGAAUUCCCAGUGUAGCGGUGAAAUGCGUAGAUAUUGGGAGGAACACCAGUGGCGAAGGCGGUUACCUGGACGGGUACUGACGCUGAGGCGCGAAAGCGUGGGGAGCAAACA
Molecule: ribosomal RNA, 207 nt
Filed under: uncultured bacterium
Lineage: Bacteria
Description: partial 16S ribosomal RNA
Rfam family: Bacterial small subunit ribosomal RNA
Source: RNAcentral